RNAcentral lists this ribosomal RNA (450 nucleotides) under uncultured Glomeromycotina. RNAcentral's name for it is "SSU rRNA". It matches the Rfam family "Eukaryotic small subunit ribosomal RNA", at positions 569 to 1023 of the family's 1831-position model. Lineage: Eukaryota; Fungi; Glomeromycota. The record is from RNAcentral.
AGCAGCCGCGGUAAUUCCAGCUCCAAUAGCGUAUAUUAAAGUUGCUGCAGUUAAAAAGCUCGUAGUUGAAUUUCGGGACUAAUAUGUCGGUCGUGCCUCGGUACGUACUGGUAUUUUUGGUUUCUCCCUUCUGACGAACCUUGAUGUCAUUAAUUUGGUGUCUUGGGAAAUCAGGACUGUUACUUUGAAAAAAAUUAGAGUGUUUAAAGCAGGCUCACGCUUGAAUACAUUAGCAUGGAAUAAUGAAAUAGGACGUUUGAUUCUAUUUUGUUGGUUUCUAGGAUCGACGUAAUGAUUAAUAGGGAUAGUUGGGGGCAUUAGUAUUCAAUUGUCAGAGGUGAAAUUCUUGGAUUUAUUGAAGACUAACUACUGCGAAAGCAUUUGCCAAGGAUGUUUUCAUUAAUCAAGAACGAAAGUUAGGGAAUCGAAGACGAUCAGAUACCGUCGUAG